UUAAAUCGCACAAAUAGUAAUAUGCAACAAACAUGUAGAGAAUGACGGUUGCAUACGUAGGAUAAAACUUGGGAAACCUGAAUAGGAUAUCUAUUCAGGAUGAUGUUUCUAAGUGAAAACAAAUAGAAACAUGUGUUAUUCACGAUUUUGAAUAACAAGACAAUAAUAGAAAUAGUUUAUGUGAAAACUUGGACGGGAAUAAAUAUCAAAGUGAAUAAUUCUCAAUAUAAUACUAUUGAAGAAAAAAAGUAGCGAUCACAUUAACGAAUUUGAUGAUAUAAUAGCUAGGUAAAAAGGAAAACAUUUUAUAUGUUCAAAGAAUAAAACGGGUAAAACUAAUAAUUGAUAAAUAACAAUUAAAUAAAGUUUUACCAACUGAAACCAAAGAUAUGGAAAUAAACAGAGACGUUACUUACAAAGGGUGUAAUGUGAAAAUUAUAAAAAAGUCAUGUGUGUCAUGUGUUUAUCGCUUACUCUGGCCAAGUAAGUAGUGAACACAUGAUGUCAUGAACUUCUUAUGAUGGACACAUUUACGUCCGAUGUAGUAAGGAUGGGGUGAAUAGGACGAAAAAAAAAGGUACCCAAAUGAAUCAAACAAAUAAGAUGUUUGAUAAUAAACGUAAACGCAAGUCGGAGGACGGAAGCGUAUUACGUUAGGACAAUGAGCCCGAGAGAAGUGACAAAGAUCAAGGUAAAUGAAAAUACAAACCGAUUGAUAGGAAUGCUAAGGUAUAGGGAUAAAAGUUUGACUGUCACAAGUGAUGAAAUUCACACGGACAAGUCAAACGAAUUAAAUAAAGAAUAAAGGACGUGAUUGAAUAAAAGCGAUGGAUUUCGCUAAGACGACUAAAUAAGUUAAAACGAAGUCUAAAAUCAUAUUAGAAUGAUUACUUUGAAAAUGACUUCGGUAAAUAUACCCGAUAGAUGAGUAUGAUUUUAAGAAUAUGCGUAAACUAAGAGACGAGAACGCGGAUUAGAAAGUCAAAAGACUCGGAUUAUGGGUCAUGACUAAAAGACGAUAAGAUUUUGCAAAUAGAAAUUUUUGAUAAUUAUGUUCAACUAUUUUAAAGUGAACGGGUCGAACAAAGAACGAAGUUUGACGUUCAUAAGUGACGAAGUUUCACUCAAACAAGUCAAACGAGAUUAAUAAAGAAUAACGCUUGAAAAUGAAAGUAAGCGCAAGCUGAAUAAUGAAAGCGCGAAAUAUUAAUGAACCUAUGUGAUAGGCCGUAAAAGAGUAUAGAAAGGAAAACGCAAACCAGUGAAACUAGAGUGUUAAAAACAUUAAGAUAAAGAACACGGGUAACGGUUCGAAAGGAAAUAGAGGCGUAAACUGAAUAACGAUAAGAGUAGGACAAACCGACGUGCAAAUGACGGAAGAAGUCAUAGAGUCGGAAGAAUAAUUCGAAAGAAAAUAAAUGUAGCCUUAGACUACGGUCAAGGUCAAAUGAAAUACAAAAGCGAAAAUAAAUUAUUCUAAACGUAAAAAGGGUACCUUUACACCCUAAAUGUAUAUAUACAGUUGAAUAAAGAUACAAAUAAAAGAGGAUCUACGGGAUCAUCAUAACCUACGGGAUUAUAAGUAGUGUUAAAGUUUAACGGGACCAAAAAGACCUUCGGGUCACAAAUAGAAAGAAACGAAUUGUAGGGGUCUCACCUUAAAACGGUAAAAAGGUGAAAAUCUAAAUAAAUAGCCUACGAGGCUAAGUGAAAGAACCUACGGGUCAUAUGGGUUAAGCGUGGGAAUUGGUUAUAAUUCCCCGCAUUAAAUAAUAACGGAAAGGAAUAGAUCAUCGGAAGUAGCAUUCCUAGGAAUAAGAGAAAGAUGUAAGACAAAAAGGAAAUAUAAACUAAAAAAAAUUAGUUUUUAGUUAAAAGCAACGUUUUAACAAAUGUAAGUAGUAUGAGGGGAAUUAGAAAAUCUUAAACACACAUAAAGCCGGAAAUGGCAAAAUAGUAUACCCGGAUGACGGGGUAUGAAGUGACGGCGACUAAUUAGUCUAGCCGAUAAAGCUAUUCAAAGUUAGGAAAAUGUCAUGACAAAUACAAAGCGUUUGUUAACAUAAGACAAGCGCGAGAUAAACAUGUUAACAGACUAAUGAGACUAAGUGGUCAAGUGACAACUCGGUCAAAAAGGAUAAUGGAUAUAAGCUAAAAAAAUAACUGCCCGCGAGACCUUACACAAGAAAGACGUACGCGUCAAUAUAAAUGAAAACGUUAGAUUGAAAAGAACGAAUGAAUGUCUUAAAAACGAAACUAAGUUCGUUUAGUCUAAAUUUAAAGAAAUACGUAAAUAAGGUUUCGGGGACGAAACCUCUUUAAGGGGGGUAGACUUGUAACACCCCGAAAACGAGUUUGAUAGCCAAGCCACGUUAAUAUUAAUGAACGGGUGAAAUACCGUUAGUGGUAAAAUUUAACCCAGUGAAUGUUAGGAUUUAAAUAAAUAAUCCUAAAUAAUAAUUAAAAAGAAGAAUAAACGCUUAAAGAAAACAAAGUUUGUAAGAAGCCAUGGUUAACGGGACUUAAAAUAAAACGGGUUAUAAUUUCCCCGAACCCACUAAGUUAACUAGGAAUUUUUAACCUAGUUAGUAAAAGAGAUAAUGUUGGAAUUAAGUAGGUUGUGACCUACUUCAUAAUUAACUUACAAAAAAAUAGAGGGACUAAAAGUGGCAAAUUCGAAAGUGAGUUAUUUAAAAUAACUUAGACACAAAAAACACACACACACAUAAGUGUGUUUCUGGUCGACAUUUUCACCAGACAAGGAAAGGUUCUUCUCUUGAACCCUAAAUUACAAAGAAAUGCUCAAAUCAAAGGGGAAAUCAAGCUAAAAAUUGGGGCUUUUAUUAAAUUCGUGAUCACCAAGUCAUGGGGAUCACAAGUUUGACUCUUGACGAGCUAGGUGAAGCUUGGAGGAGAUGAUCAAACGGGAUAAAGACACGAGUAAGACUUGCUUGGAUGAAAGGUAAGUAAAGCUUACACCUAUUUUUUUUAUUAGCAUACGUAUUUAUUCUAUAGGUGAUAAAUACAACAAUAGAUUAUGUUCGAAUUAUGGGUUCCGACACGAAACAAAAUGGGUCGGAACGAAUAAAAACGUUUAAAAUCAUGAUUAAUGGUGAAAGAGGUAAAAUGGUAAUUUAGUCAUAAAUCGACUAAGAAUUUAUGAGUUUUCUUAAAGUUACCUCAUAGCUUAACUAAUAAUGGAAAAAGGGGUAAAAUGGUAAUUUGGUCACGUGAUGACUAAUUUAAUCGAGAUUAAAAGGAUACCCACGGCGUAAGCCGAACUGGGUCAAAUAUGUAAGAAAAAAAGGGAAAUUUUUAUGGUAAAAUCCGUAAUGGGUCGGAUGCGUGAUUGAGUAAUUAGAAACCAUGAUUUGUAAUAAAUAUAAUUGUUUGGUCGUAUAGACCAAAUGGGUCAAAUGAUGGUGAUAACAUCAUAUGACCAUAUCGACUAAUGUUGGUUGUUAAGUCAUAUGUUUACAGGAACGAAUAGCAAUUUGGAUAAUUGCGUCGUCAUAGAAUAUUGAAUUAAUAAUAGCAAGGUAUAAACGGGUCUAUACGUUGACUCGAGCCAGGUACGCUUAUAUAUAGAUUUAUAGUUAAAAGUGUUUAACUUCCCUUAACGGGUCAAAAUGAGUAGAUAGGUAAAACGGGUUAAGAAUUCAUAAGAAACCCGUAAUUUGAACCUUGCAUAUUAGUAAAUUGAUAUAACGUGAUAUGCAUGAUAUUUUGAAAAGGUAAUAAACAAGUUUGUUUGAUAAAUCACGAACGGGUCAAAAAGUGUCAUAAUUGAAUUUCAAGCCGAGAGCUUGAAAGUUAAAAUUUUGUGAAUUUAGAUGUCGGGUUUUCACUCCGUAAGAUGGAGAAUUAAAUUACGAACGCGUAGGAAAAAGAAUCGCGAAAAACGGACUUGUAGAAUGAAAGUUAUGCCAAUUUAAAGUUUGAAAUUUGUUAAAAUUGGAGCUGGGCAGAAAAUGCAGGUUCAGAUAUAAACCUGCUGGAAACUGGUCUCCCCCGCGACACGCGAAGGGGAAACAAGGUCCGGGCGCGACACGCGACAGGCGUCGCGGCACGCGACACAUCUAGUUGAGUCUCUCGCAACACGCGAGAGACAUAAAGGCUGGAAAAAAAAUUAUUUUCGUUAAUUGUUUGAUGUGUAGAACUUGUUUAAACUUAUAUUUAAGUUAUCAAAACUAACUUUUAGGUUGGUUUUGAUCACAGGUGAAUAUCGAAAGUACCCGGACGAAGAUCAAGCGACGAGAAAGAACCGAACACAUGAAGAAGAAGCUUCCGCACGUUGUUUCGUCGAAUUUUUAAACGACAAACUAACUACAUUAUGUUGUUCUAAACUUUAAAUUAUAAAAUUUUUAAUAAACCCGUACUUUGUAAUGUAUAUGUGCUCUUAAUCACAUGUUUAUUAUCUUAAAUUAUACGAAAAUCGUUAAAUAA
Helianthus annuus (common sunflower) is the source of this 4446-nucleotide long non-coding RNA. RefSeq lists it as uncharacterized. The record is from RefSeq and is a predicted model, not a curated record. The transcript is spliced from 2 exons. Lineage: Eukaryota; Viridiplantae; Streptophyta; Magnoliopsida; Asterales; Asteraceae.